GCCCUUGUAGUUCAAUGGAUAGAACAAGAAACUUCUAAUUUCUAAAUCUAGGUUCGAUUCCUAGCAGGGGCACCA
Molecule: transfer RNA, 75 nt
Filed under: Candidatus Zambryskibacteria bacterium RIFOXYC1_FULL_39_10
Lineage: Bacteria; Candidatus Zambryskiibacteriota
Also listed under: 1 other name
Description: tRNA-Arg
Rfam family: tRNA
About the family: Transfer RNA (tRNA) molecules are approximately 80 nucleotides in length. Their secondary structure includes four short double-helical elements and three loops (D, anti-codon, and T loops).
Source: RNAcentral